CUUCUACAUCCUGAGGAUUUUUAUCAUCUUCUAUUGCUUACAUGUAUUCAAAAAAGCAAAAAACCAAAAAUCAUCCAACGACCAUAACCUGGUAGAUUCCUUUCUCAGUGGAAAAGACUGAAUAUGAGAUACUGAAAGAUCUCUCCCAAAGAUUUUGCUUCGCUGUUUUUUAACGGAAAACACAGAAUGAGAGGCAAAGAAGAAAGACAAGGAAGAUGACUGGCAAAACAGAAACUUUGAGUGCCAAAAGAGAGAUGACUCUUUUCUAUUUGCCCAGCCAUUAUCAGGUUUCAAGUUACUAGAAACACCUCAAAAAAGGUGUCGCAUCGUAGCCCCAAGAUAAGAUGAAGCUGUCCUCGGUGGAAGUGGCUGCGUGACUCGGACAGGCAGACCGUGAAUUCCAAUCAUCAGUUGGAGUAACAGAAGGGUAAUCCCAUUCCUUUGAGAUUGGAAGGGACGUGUAACAAUGGAGUCCAGUUCCCGGUAUAGAAUAGCCCUUUGCAAUGCUUCUCUAGAAGUUUUCGUGGGGUACGUUAUUUAUUCAAAAAACAUUUAUGCAAAAAGCAUAGCAUGCAUUUAGUUGUAUUAGCUCUAGCUCCCGAUGGCCUCGAUGACUGUAUCGUAACCGUUGAGUCAUGGCCUCAACCACUGACUGAACAUCUGGGGAAAGGACUGGGGUUGCCCUGGGAGCACAGGUGAAGGUAAUCCAGCUUGUGACUGAAUGGGGUGGAGCCUGGCUGCACCCUUCUUAGACCUCAUUUAAGGGCUGACUGCCAGCAGGGAAGGAUCUCUUUCUGAAGAUUCCUCCUUGGUGAAGAUUUUUCCUGUAAUCCUAGGUUUUUCUGUUAUGGGACUAGAUGACCUAGGCUAUCUGUGAGCUGAGAGCAGGACAUGACUAGGCACUGAUGCCUUAGAAAGAGGCUGUGUUCUGAAAUGAUACUAUGCUGAGGUGAAACCUACAAGCUACUGCUAAUAGAAAUGGCUGAUUUCUGUCUAAAGAGGGAGAGCUGCACAUCGUUCUGCUGUCAGAGACUGAAGAGCAGUAGUGGGAGCUGCCUGCUGAAAGCCUAACCGUCUGAGAAAUGUUAGCGUUGUGAUCUGCUCGUUCAGAGUUCCUAGAUGAAGAACCUGUUUGGAAAGCUGUGUAUAAACAGUGGGCUUGUGGCUUUGAAAUUUCGUGCUCUAAAUGCAGUAAAGCAUAUCCUGAUCGUUGAAGAGAAACGCAUUCAGAGGUCCCCUGUGGGAGGGAGACUUCAGUAGCCUGAAGGGAAAAGACUAUUUUAAGGGAGAAAUGGAAGGCUAUGUGAAGUACUUGUUUGUUGCGUAUGGUAGAACGUUACUUCCAACAAUCCGUUAAUGUCAGAAAGAAAAUAUGACCUGGAGGUGCUUUCACAUGGAAUGAAUAAUCUACUCUGGAUACAAAGACUUCGUUUUAACCAGGUAAGAGGAAGAAAGGAGUGGAGCUGAAAGUGGAAGUGGCACGUUCCAGAGAUGAGAGAGGAAGAGAAAAAUGGAGCAUUAAAAUGAUGGGAGAGAAAACGGGAGCAACCGCCACAAAGAGGCCGAGAGGCACAUUUCAAAGGAAACUGGAAGCAGGAGAGUUGCAGCUCAGUUGUGCGAUGGAAGUGUCAUGUUCUGUAUAGCAGCGAAAACGGUGUCUCCAGAAGUAGUUUCAGUUACUUUCGUAUAUCAUCGAAGGAGGAGUAUGCUUAUCAUUUGGGGCAAAAAAAGAUUCAUAUGAAAUUGGAAGACAUAAAGGAAGCUAGCUGAAAAGAGCAUUUAGGCAGGAGCUGAUGCUAUCCAAGCUAAAGUCUUUGGACCAAAAAAUAUUCUGCUAUGUAAGGCUGGCAUUGAAAUGCCUUGGAGGAACACGAGU
This is a non-coding RNA of Meleagris gallopavo (turkey), 1876 nucleotides long. NCBI's taxonomy places the organism in Eukaryota, Metazoa, Chordata, Aves, Galliformes, Phasianidae. The record is from RefSeq and is a predicted model, not a curated record.